AGACUCGUGGUGUAAUGGUUAGCACAUCAGGUUUUGAUCCUGAGAGAUAAGGUUCGAUCCCUUCCGGGUCUA
Molecule: transfer RNA, 72 nt
Filed under: Candidatus Uzinura diaspidicola str. ASNER
Lineage: Bacteria; Pseudomonadati; Bacteroidota; Flavobacteriia; Flavobacteriales
Description: tRNA-Gln (TTG) (tRNA-Gln-TTG-1-1)
Rfam family: tRNA
About the family: Transfer RNA (tRNA) molecules are approximately 80 nucleotides in length.
Source: Rfam by way of RNAcentral